UACGGAGGGUACAAGCAUUAAUCGGAAUUACUGGGCGUAAAGGGCGCGUAGGCGGAUUUGUAAGUCGAAUGUGAAAUUUCAAAACUCAAUUUUGAAGCUGCAUUUGAAACUGCAAGUCUCAGAGGUAUGGCGGAGAAAGAGGAAUUCCAAGUGUAGCGGUGAAAUGCGUAGAUAUUUGGAAGAACACCGGUGGCGAAGGCGUCUUUCUAGCUUUUACCUGACGCUGAGGCGCGAGAGCAAGGGGAGCAAACAGG
This 254-nucleotide ribosomal RNA is filed under the name uncultured bacterium. RNAcentral's name for it is "partial 16S ribosomal RNA". It matches the Rfam family "Bacterial small subunit ribosomal RNA", at positions 524 to 776 of the family's 1533-position model. The record is from RNAcentral.